RNAcentral lists this unclassified non-coding RNA (321 nucleotides) under Hevea brasiliensis (rubber tree). Lineage: Eukaryota; Viridiplantae; Streptophyta; Magnoliopsida; Malpighiales; Euphorbiaceae. The record is from RNAcentral.
GUGACGUCUUCGUCGUCUUCCUCGUCCUCGGCGAUGAAGGUCGAAUCAUCAUCGUCGUCGUCGGCAAGGGUCUCAUCGACUUCGAUAUCGUCCUCGGAUUCCGGCAGCACGGCCUUGACCUUGCCGCUAUUCUCUUCGGCGUCGGCCUCUUCCAGCGAGACCAACUCUUCGGCCUCUGCGGGCUCCGGCACAAUGCUGGCGGCGCUGGCAGCGGCGGCGCGCGCAGCGGCGUCGGCACGCGUGCGUGGCGGAGGCACCGGUGCAAUCGGCACGAUCUCACCAGUGUACGGCGAAAUCACGGGAUUCUUGUUGAGGUCAUAG